Long non-coding RNA from Planococcus citri (citrus mealybug), 715 nucleotides. RefSeq lists it as uncharacterized. NCBI's taxonomy places the organism in Eukaryota, Metazoa, Arthropoda, Insecta, Hemiptera, Pseudococcidae. The transcript has 2 exons. The record is from RefSeq and is a predicted model, not a curated record.
UUUAAUUUACUUAAUUCUUGUUCGCUUUACUUUUUAUUACAUGAAAAUGAAAAAAAAAUCAUUAUCACCAACUUGCAUAAAAAAUGCACCGUCGUAAAUCAAUGUUGCGUUACUUUUUGCGACAUUGUAGUUUGGUUUGCAUAUAAAUACAGCGAUGGAGAAACGGAUUUUUCAGUUUGAGCUUAAGUUGUACCUAGUAGUUUGUUACUGCAAUUCCAUUCCGCGUCAGUCAUCACAAGCGUACACAGCGAAAAUGAAACUGCAAAAGUUCUUCAUCGGUGCAAUAGUAGUGCUGAUUUCUUUACAGUAUCUUACAACAGCAGAUGAAUUUGAAAAAGAUGGAAAGAAAGCAUGUACUAGUAAAAACGGGACAACAAGUACUAUACGAAACGUUAUUGAUGCAUGCAAGGCAAAAGAUCCCAAAGCUGACGAUAAAAUGCUCGAUAUCUGUUUCUGCGAUGGCUGUUCAGACAAUGUGUCGUGUAACAAUAAAAGCGGAUAAGAUUUAUGUAAAAGAAUGUGAAAAAUAUCAGGACAAGUAAAUGAGUUGAUUGGUGCUCACUACCUACGUCUUGUGAGCAUUUCAUAGGUAUCUACAUAGCUUAUUUAAAAUUUCAGUCAUCUUAAAUACAAAUAUAUUAAUGAUAAUGCGUUACCUAACAUAAUAUGCCUACAGUAUAUCUUAUAAGUACAAAUACAUACAUAUUUAAUUAGU